This 468-nucleotide ribosomal RNA is filed under the name uncultured bacterium. RNAcentral describes it as "partial 16S ribosomal RNA". It matches the Rfam family "Bacterial small subunit ribosomal RNA", at positions 28 to 507 of the family's 1533-position model. The record is from RNAcentral.
GACGAACGCUGGCGGCGUGCUUAACACAUGCAAGUCGAACGGAAAGGCCCUGCUUUUGUGGGGUGCUCGAGUGGCGAACGGGUGAGUAACACGUGAGUAACCUGCCCUUGACUGUGGGAUAACUUCAGGAAACUGGGGCUAAUACCGGAUAGGAGCUCCUGCUGCAUGGUGGGGGUUGGAAAGUUUCGGCUGUUGUGGAUGGACUCGCGGCUUAUCAGCUUGUUGGUGGGGUAGUGGCUUACCAAGGCUUUGACGGGUAGCCGGCCUGAGAGGUUGAACGGCGUCAUUGGGACUGAGGGAGGGACCAGACGCCAACGGGAGGCAACAGUGGGGAAUAUUGCACAAUGGGCGGAAGCCUGAUGCAGAGACGCCGCGUGCGGGAUGACGGCCUUCGGGUUGUAAACCGCUUUCGCCUGUGACGAAGCGGGAGUGACGGUAAUGGGUAAAGAAGCACCGGCUAACUACGUG